CAGUAGCCGCGGGAAUACGAAGGGGGCUAGCGUUGUUCGGAUUUACUGGGCGUAAAGCGCACGUAGGCGGACUUUUAAGUCAGGGGUGAAAUCCCGGGGCUCAACCCCGGAACUGCCUUUGAUACUGGGAGUCUUGAGUUCGAGAGAGGUGAGUGGAAUUGCGAGUGUAGAGGUGAAAUUCGUAGAUAUUCGCAGGAACACCAGUGGCGAAGGCGGCUCACUGGCUCGAUACUGACGCUGAGGUGCGUAAGCGUGGGGAGCAAACAGGAUUAGAUACCCGUGUAGUCCCUGUCUCUUAUAC
Molecule: ribosomal RNA, 301 nt
Filed under: uncultured bacterium
Lineage: Bacteria
Description: partial 16S ribosomal RNA
Rfam family: Bacterial small subunit ribosomal RNA
Source: RNAcentral